UCUCUGGUAGUAUAGUGGUGAGUAUCCGCGCCUGUCACGUGCGAGACCGGGGUUCGAUUCCCCGCCAGAGAG
Strongyloides venezuelensis is the source of this 72-nucleotide transfer RNA. It matches the Rfam family "tRNA". From Rfam's summary of the family: Transfer RNA (tRNA) molecules are approximately 80 nucleotides in length. NCBI's taxonomy places the organism in Eukaryota, Metazoa, Nematoda, Chromadorea, Rhabditida, Strongyloididae. The record is from Rfam.